AGAGAGAGAGAGAGAGAGAGAGAGAGAGAGAAAAGAAUCCAUUUUCUUUCUCUCUCUCUCUCUCUUUUUUUUUUAGU
This 77-nucleotide microRNA precursor is filed under the name Marmota monax (woodchuck). Lineage: Eukaryota; Metazoa; Chordata; Mammalia; Rodentia; Sciuridae. The record is from RNAcentral.